AGAAUCAACGCUGGCGGCGUGCCUAACACAUGCAAGUCGCACGAGAAAGUGGAGCAAUCCAUGAGUACAGUGGCGCACGGGUGAGUAACACGUGAAUCAUCUACCUCCGAGUGGGGAAUAACCUAGAGAAAUCUGGGCUAAUACCGCAUAAUACCCACGGGUCAAAGCAGCAAUGCGCUUGGAGAGGAGUUCGCGGCCGAUUAGUUAGUUGGCGGGGUAAUGGCCCACCAAGACGAUGAUCGGUAUCCGGCCUGAGAGGGCGCACGGACACACUGGAACUGAAACACGGUCCAGACUCCUAUGGGAGGCAGCAGUGGGGAAUUUUGCGCAAUGGGGGAAACCCUGACGCAGCAACGCCGCGUGGAGGAUGAAGCCCCUUGGGGCGUAAACUCCUUUCGACCGGGACGAUAAUGACGGUACCGGUGGAAGAGCACCGGCUAACUCUGCGCCAGCAGCCGC
This 459-nucleotide ribosomal RNA is filed under the name uncultured bacterium. Its description in RNAcentral is "SSU rRNA". It matches the Rfam family "Bacterial small subunit ribosomal RNA", at positions 26 to 518 of the family's 1533-position model. The record is from RNAcentral.